This 894-nucleotide non-coding RNA is filed under the name Limnonectes kuhlii (Kuhl's wart frog). RNAcentral's name for it is "partial 12S rRNA". It matches the Rfam family "Bacterial small subunit ribosomal RNA". The record is from RNAcentral. Lineage: Eukaryota; Metazoa; Chordata; Amphibia; Anura; Dicroglossidae.
CCCUAAACUUACACAUGCAAGUCUCAGCACACCCGUGAGGACGCCCUUCCCCCUACACCAGAAUUAGGAGCCGGCAUCAGGCAUUAAACUUACCCAUCACGCCUAGUCCCACCACGCCCAUAAGGGCCUUCAGCAGUGAUAAAUAUUGUCUAUAAGCGACAGCUUGACUCAAUUAUGGGGGAAAGGGCUGGCUAACUCGGUGCCAGCCGCCGCGGCUAAACCGCACGAGCCCAAGUUGACAGUUAUCGGCGUUAAGCGUGAUUAAAGAUUUCUUCCAAAUUAGAGUAAAACCUACACUUAGCUGUGAUAAGCUUGUGUUAGAGAAAAAUAAAAGCGAAAGUUGCUCUAAUCUACUUGAACACACGAUAGUCGGGAAACAAACUGGGAUUAGAUACCCCACUAUGCCCCACCGUAAAAUAUUAACCUACAUCAACAACGCCAGGGUAUUACGAGCCUUAGCUUAAAACCCAAAGGACUUGACGGUGUCCCAUCCAACUAGAGGAGCCUGUUCUAUAAUCGAUAACCCCCGAUAUACCCGACCCCAUUUUGCAAAUCAGCCUGUAUACCUCCGUCGCAAGCUUACCAUAUGAAUGCUAACAGUAAGUCUAAUGAUUAAACACCAACACGUCAGGUCAAGGUGCAGCUUAUGAUAGGGCAAGCAAUGGGCUACAAUUUCUAAUAUAGAACAUACGAAAUGCUACAUGAAACACAGUCACGAAGGCGGAUUUAGUAGUAAAAAUGAAAUAAAGUGUCCUUUUUAACAAGGCCCUGGGACGUGUACACACCGCCCGUCACCCUCUUCAAUAGUUCACAACAUGUUUAUUACAACCCACACACCCUAGAAGAGGCAAGUCGUAACAUGGUAAGCGUACCGGAAGGUGCACUUGGAUUACC